This is an RNA transcript of Nicotiana attenuata, 922 nucleotides long. It is a transcript of the gene named ycf20-like protein, with no coding region annotated. The transcript is spliced from 3 exons. The record is from RefSeq and is a predicted model, not a curated record. Lineage: Eukaryota; Viridiplantae; Streptophyta; Magnoliopsida; Solanales; Solanaceae.
CUAAAUAGGUCAAAAAGGCCUAAGGGGUUAGAAUUAUAAGUUUAAGCUAAAUUAUUUUCAAAUUUAAAAAUAAAAGCGAACGGAGGUAGUACUACUUUUUAGGCGUUUCUGAGGUCAUGAAUCUAAAAUUCCUUUCAAUUUGAUUAGAGGAUUGGGUUUCAUGUUCUUAUGCCUUGUACUGUCCAAUAAUAGAAAAUGGUACAUUCUCUGGCUUUCACAUCUCCAGCAACCCUUAUCAGAUAUGGCAAUAUUAGUCCAAAAAUUGGGGCUUUAACUAGGGCAAAUGAGGCAUCUAUUCCGAGAUCAUUAUUCAGAGUUCAGUCUGUGCAAGAUAAUGGUGGAGGGCCUCGGCGGCUAGUUGAUAUUAUCCGUGUCGUGCCAGAGAUUUCAAGAAAUUAUUUUAAAAGCCCAUCAAGGAGGGCACUAUUUGGAGGUAUAUCAUUGCUGGGUGGAUUUUAUGUGGCUCAGACAAUUUCUCUAUCUUUUGGUGCUUUAGGAGUCAAUGAUGUCAUUGCUGCUGUAGUCUGCGUCUUAAUUACCGAGUAUGUGACACGGUUCUAUUACAGUCGGCCUAAAGUGACUUUUCCUAUUGCUCUUUUGAACAACUUCAAGAUGGGUUUUACUUAUGGUCUCUUCAUUGAUGCUUUCAAACUUGCCAGCUGAACUAAUUGUCUCAGUUUUGCAGCAGACAUCUUUCAUGUUCAGCCUCUCAUUAGGAGAUUCAGCUGUGCAAUUCAAUGCCAACUCCAAAAUAGAGGACACACAAUGCAACUUUUUCUUGAAAUCAAUCUCUUCUGGUUCCAAUAAGGUGGCAUCAAUAAUAUCCUCUGGUGUUGCAGACCGCGGCAUAUAUCUGCAGGAAGACUCCCUGAUAAUUGAUUAUAUGUGAGAGCUAAAGUCUCCAACGAGGAGGUGUUGAAAA